AGAGUUUGAUCCUGGCUCAGAUUGAACGCUGGCGGCAGGCCCAACACAUGCAAGUCGAACGGUAACAGGAAACAGCUUGCUGUUUCGCCGACGAGUGGCGGACGGGUGAGUAAUGUCUGGGAAACUGCCUGAUGGAGGGGGAUAACUACUGGAAACGGUAGCUAAUACCGCAUAACGUCGCAAGACCAAAGAGGGGGACCCUCGGGCCUCUUGCCAUCGGAUGUGCCCAGAUGGGAUUAGCUAGUAGGUGGGGUAACGGCUCACCUAGGCGACGAUCCCUAGCUGGUCUGAGAGGAUGACCAGCCACACUGGAACUGAGACACGGUCCAGACUCCUACGGGAGGCAGCAGUGGGGAAUAUUGCACAAUGGGCGCAAGCCUGAUGCAGCCGUGCCGCGUGUAUGAAGAAGGCCUUCGGGUUGUAAAGUACUUUCAGCGGGGAUGAAGGGAGUAAAGUUAAU
RNAcentral lists this ribosomal RNA (460 nucleotides) under uncultured bacterium. Its description in RNAcentral is "bacterial SSU rRNA". It matches the Rfam family "Bacterial small subunit ribosomal RNA", at positions 8 to 464 of the family's 1533-position model. The record is from RNAcentral.